This 603-nucleotide ribosomal RNA is filed under the name Rhodotorula paludigena. Its description in RNAcentral is "eukaryotic LSU rRNA". It matches the Rfam family "Eukaryotic large subunit ribosomal RNA", at positions 47 to 662 of the family's 3401-position model. The record is from RNAcentral. Lineage: Eukaryota; Fungi; Basidiomycota; Microbotryomycetes; Sporidiobolales; Sporidiobolaceae.
UAAGCGGAGGAAAAGAAACUAACAAGGAUUCCCCUAGUAGCGGCGAGCGAAGCGGGAAGAGCUCAAAUUUAUAAUCUGGCACUUUCAGUGUCCGAGUUGUAAUCUCUAGAAGUGUUUUCCGCGUUGGACCGCACACAAGUCUGUUGGAAUACAGCGGCACAGUGGUGACACCCCCGUACACGGUGCGGACGCCCAGCGCUUUGUGAUACACUUUCGAAGAGUCGAGUUGUUUGGGAAUGCAGCUCAAAUUGGGUGGUAAAUUCCAUCUAAAGCUAAAUAUUGGCGAGAGACCGAUAGCGAACAAGUACCGUGAGGGAAAGAUGAAAAGCACUUUGGAAAGAGAGUUAACAGUACGUGAAAUUGUUGGAAGGGAAACGCUUGAAGUCAGACUUGCUUGCCGGAGCUUGCUUCGGUUUGCAGGCCAGCAUCAGUUUUCCGGGGUGGAUAAUGGCGGUUAGAAGGUAGCAGCUUCAGCUGUGUUAUAGCUUUCCGCUGGAUACAUCCUGGGGGACUGAGGAACGCAGCGUGCUUUUAGCGGGGGUUUCGACCUCUUCACGCUUAGGAUGCUGGUGUAAUGGCUUUAAACGACCCGUCUUGAAACAC